GGGGCCGUAGCUCAGUUGGGAGAGCGUCUCGUUCGCAUCGAGAAGGUCAGGGGUUCGAUUCCCCUCGGUUCCA
RNAcentral lists this transfer RNA (73 nucleotides) under Brevibacterium ravenspurgense. RNAcentral's name for it is "tRNA-Ala". It matches the Rfam family "tRNA". From Rfam's summary of the family: Transfer RNA (tRNA) molecules are approximately 80 nucleotides in length. Their secondary structure includes four short double-helical elements and three loops (D, anti-codon, and T loops). Further hydrogen bonds mediate the characteristic L-shaped molecular structure. tRNAs have two regions of fundamental functional importance: the anti-codon, which is responsible for specific mRNA codon recognition, and the 3' end, to which the tRNAs corresponding amino acid is attached (by aminoacyl-tRNA synthetases). tRNAs cope with the degeneracy of the genetic code in two manners: having more than one tRNA (with a specific anti-codon) for a particular amino acid; and 'wobble' base-pairing, i.e. permitting non-standard base-pairing at the 3rd anti-codon position. The record is from RNAcentral. Lineage: Bacteria; Bacillati; Actinomycetota; Actinomycetes; Micrococcales; Brevibacteriaceae.